CUGUCACUGGUCUUGGACUAACGUUAUCCCACAUGAGUGAGGAUAAAGGUUAGGAGUUUAGGGGCGUGUGGGUGGUCUUACUCUUGGUUUCAGCUCAGGUCGUGAUCUCACAGUUCGUGAGUUCAAGCACUGCAGCAGGCUCUGUGCUAACAGUGCAGAGCCUGCUUGGGAUUCUCUCUCUCCUCUCUCAGCCCUCCACCUCUCAAACUAAUAAACGUUAAUUUAAAAAAGAAAAGGUUAGGAUGUAUUCACUGAAUAAUGGGAAGAAAGAGGAAAAGAGCUAUUCUAGAAUGAUUAGGAUAUCCUUAGAGACCUCCCUUCAUAUGCAAUGUGUGGUCCUUGAUAGAACAAAACAGAUGUAAAAGACCUUUUGUGGAAAAAUGGAGAAAACCAAAUACAGAAUGGGCAUAGGUGGUAUUUAGGAAUUGUCAAUAUGUGGUAUUAUAGUAACUUAGGAAAAUGUCUCUAGCUUUUAGUACUAAAAUACAAAGACUAUAAUGACAAAAUGUAAUGAUCCAACAUGCAUUUACUUAGAAACACUUAGGAAAAAAAGAUGAAGCAAAUGUGGCAAAAUGGUAAGUUGGUAAAUUCUGGUGAUGGGUUAAGAGAUGUUCAUUACUAUAUUCUUUACCUUUUGGUAUGCUUAAAGUUUCAUGAUAAAGAGUAAAAAACAAAACAGAAUUUGACCAAGCACAUAAACCUUGUUAUGUGUGAGACAAAAGAAUAAAUGAAAUUAAGUUUCUACCUUGAGGGAGUUCAGAGGUCACACUCUGGUGGUGGAGCUGUAUAGGUAAACUAAUGGUUAAACAGAUAAACACCAUGUCUAUGGCCUUGUGAGAAACACAGCCAAGGCAGAAAGUGACUGGGGAACAGGGGAGGCAAAGGCAUCAUAGAGGAAGUGAUGGAAAAGCAGAAAUUUACCAGGUGGCAGUCCAGGAAAGGGCUCAGCAAAGUUGUGUGUGACAGGAUGUAGAGAAGGGUUGAGUAUGUGCAUGUACAUGCAUGCGGGGCAGGGAGAUAAAUGACUGCACGAGCAGGCUAGGGUGAGACCACAGGACCUUUUGUGCCAUGAGGAAGAACUCUGGAAUAUGAGCGUAGCUGGGAUGCUGAAAUUUUUUAAACUAACUAAUACGAUCAGAUUUAGUAGAUCCAUGAUUCUCAAACAUUAGCAUGAAUCAGAAUCAUCUAGUUGACUUCCUAACAAAAGAGUCCCACAUCUCCAGAGUUUGAUUCAAUAGGUUUAGGAUGGGACCUGAGAAUCUGCAUUUCUAACAAGUUCCCAAGCUGAUGCUAAUGCUGCUUGUAUAGGACUAUUUGAGAAUCACUGUAGUGGAGGGUAACUCCAGUAGUGAAAGGGCAGCUGAACUGAAAGCAGACACUGGAACAGACCAGACAUGAAGCAGUUAGAACAGACCUGGAAAGAGAGGGUCUCUGGGAUGGCUGCUUGGCUUGCUGGUCCUUCUCUGGGAGGGCACCCAGAGGCCAAUGUCUGCUGAGCCCUUACAUCCUUAGCAACAGCUCUGACUAUUCAAGGGACAGAUGCUGUCCAAAGUGACCAUAUGUGUUUUUUUCUUCUGAGGAUUUCAACCUUACAUAUUAGAAACGUAGAAAAUGGAGGUGGGCUGGCGUUAAGUCACCCUAACGGUCUCUUCCUCCAGAAAAAGGCUCCAAAUUCCCGUCACUGAGUGAGGUCUUCAGAGCCCUCCUGAUGCCUGACGAAGUCUUACUUGGUACAUCCUUCAAAUCUGUAAGCUACCAACUAUCCCAGUAUCUUUACAAAUAGUACUAUUAAAGUAAGUCAGUUUGUCAGUUCUUGACGAAGAGUUUAAGGGACAAUGAAAACACUCAUUUAGAAAAAAUACUGGUAAAUAAUGAGGCAAAGCUGUAUGUACGUACACACACACACACACACACACACACACACACACAAUGUCCAUAGCAAAAGAAGGUUAAAAAAAAAAAAAAAGA
Leopardus geoffroyi (Geoffroy's cat) is the source of this 1968-nucleotide long non-coding RNA. RefSeq lists it as uncharacterized. The record is from RefSeq and is a predicted model, not a curated record. The transcript has 2 exons. NCBI's taxonomy places the organism in Eukaryota, Metazoa, Chordata, Mammalia, Carnivora, Felidae.